GGUUUUUAUAACACUUGAUGAAGAAUGUAAGGGCUAUGGUACCAUUAGGACUUCCACGUAGGUUGGUGUACAGUGUAAAAUGCUACUGUGUUCAAACACAACUGUAGAGCCCUGAGCACAGUGCACCCUGCUCUGCAGCCGCUGGCUUCUUGGGAACACCAUUGCUGAUUGCUGCCCUGUUCUUUGUUUCAUCCUGCUCUUUCAUAAGUGCAUGUGACUGCAUAAAGGAGGAAAAUGAAUUGGAGCUCUUUGGCCCUACAAAUGGUAAAUGGAUGUGUGGCCCCGCUACUUAAUAUAGGUACUGCCUGAUUAUAUUCCAAUGCCACCAGUAUUAGAAAUGCAGGUUCUCUAGGCAAGCCAAGCAGAGAAGAGCCAACACUUUGAAGAACUUGGAAAAGGGGAGGAUUACUUCUGCAUGCAUCCACAGUGCCAAAGAAGCUUCUUCUGGGUGUAUAUGUAGGUGCUGACUUCCACACCUGGGUCUCAGAAAGCACAGACACUAACCAACCGCUCUGAAAUGCUGUUCCCAGAAGGACUGACUGCAGAAGUAACACAGUUCCCAGAAGAACUGGGCACAGAAGUAGCAUCCUUUUAUUCCCACUUACUUGCUUUUAAUCACUUCUGUAUUUUAGGGAUGGGGGUUAUAAAGUUAAAGUAGUAAAUCCUUGCUGAGCUGGAAAUACCAGGACUUGCAGCCUGCAUGAACUCUGUUCUAACAUACAGCGCUUGCUGCAGUGCUGGAAGGAACCUGGACUGACCAGUUGUUCCUCUCAACCCUCUCCACCUCCCAUGUAGUGCAGGCUUCAUACUGCCACCGUGGAAGCUGUGAAAGAGAAUGAGUUUGUGGCAUUUGUUAAUAAUUCACUAAUAUUGUAUUUUAAUAGCAAAAUGUGAGAUGGGGAAAGGUGCUGCAGGCUCUGAAGGCUCCUCUGAGCCAGGGAGAGUCUGAAGCCUAGCAGGCUGCUGGGUUUGCUUGAAACAAGGUGGGAUGGGCAGCUCAGGAACUCCAGAAACCCCAUGUGCUCAGGCUUUUCAAGUAAGAUCCAUCAUACUUGUUUUUCCUCUGUUUAUUCCUGAGCAAGCUUCUACAGAUUUCUGAUUGACCAUUAAGAGCUGCACCCCUUUAAACUAAAGCAAGCAAUAAAGCUUGCGUUACUGUUACAUUAAUAUAUCCUGAGUCUACCAGCAGCCUUUUUUAUUUCCAUGUAUCUGUAAUAUCAGCCUAAAGGCACAUUCAGUAGCAUUUCUUUGAAACUUCCUAUACCCAUUGAUAGGCAUAUAGGAGUCAGGAUUGGCUCCUUUUAAAACUUGUAAUAGCUUUGCAAAGAGGGGAAUGGGUUGGGAAUGUGUCAUUUGAGAUUUUGAUAAAAACCUAAUGGGAAACUGGUCUGUGAGCCAACUUGAAUGAGCUAGAAACCUAAUAUGAACAAAGAUCAGCGAAGCUCCUCAGGUUGCCCAGAAGUAUUAAGUGUUUCAUUUGUGAAAUCCCCAAAGUCUGCCAAUACUUGAAAGCUUGGCAUGAUGCAGAAGGUGCGCUUGCUAAGGCAGGGUUAGCACAGAUGGGAGCCAAGGAACUGAGAACACUUUUUGUCCCUAUAUGAUGAAUUUUAAGGCUUCAUUUUUUGCAGGUGGAUUCCAAAAUAAGAUAGCAGGUGGCAUAUUUAAGGUUUCCAAGCAAACCUGCAGUUUCAGUGAAGAAAGGUGAUAAAAUUCCAGAAGGGGCCUGAAUUUGCAGCACGUUUUAUGUCUUGUUCACUGUAUAGAAGAUUAUUUAACCAGGGAUAUCUGUGGUCCUUGUGGAUGUUGUACAUAGUCAGUGUAAAGAAACUUUAGUUGUCCAUGCUUCUUGAAAUAUACCCAACCCUUUGCAGACUGUGCAUGAAACAGAAAACAGGGCAAUUGUGAUCAGCCUGGACUGAGCUGGUUUCCAAUUAGUUAAAUCAGAAAUAUUGGGAAGAAAUGUAGGUUGAAAAUGAACAUGCCAAGUCUAAACAAAAACCUGUGAUGAUUAUUUAGCAAACAAAGAAAACCAUGGAUUCAACAGAGCAUUACUACUGCAUUGAAAAGAAGGACUUUCUUUUCCUUUUUUACUCCCAAUCAACUGAUUGCAGUUUCUGCUAGCUGGAUCCCUAGCCUUUCAGGCUGUUUUGUGUAGGUGAGGUUUUUUAUACGGGAGAGAACCCCUGAAGUCUAAUAGAAACCUUUUAAGUAAAUCUUACAAAGCUCUAAUCUCUCAAAAGCUCCCAUGUUCUUCUCCUCUGUUCUUAUUCAAUUUUUAAUAAGAACAAUUCCAUGCAGCUCUAAAGCAUGGCUCAAUUAAGAAAUAUUCCUACCAGGCAUCUUUGAAAUCUUGGGAGGUUUUUGCUUUUUUCUUUUUUGUUGGGUUUUGUUUUAGGGUUUUUUUUUUCUUUUUCUGGUUUACCCCUACAAAUCUCAAUUUUGGUUGGUUGGAGUUUAGAGAAGGGGUUCCUUUUUAAUUGCAAGCUCCACUUCACACAGUUGUUUACAAGUAGACAAAAUAACUUUCAAAGUCUUCUGUUUUCUGCUUGAAGGAGACCAUCGAACACAUUAGUGCUGUAUUCUGAAGUUACAAAAAGGAUCUUUGAUCUAAUUCCCUAGACUUUAUCUGUCUAAAAAGUAUCUCUAGGUCAUGAGAAGUAAUUAAAAAGAAAAAAGUCUGAAUCAAAAUUUCAAGCCCAGGUAUUUUAUAGUAAUCAAACCUUUACUGCUUUAUGAUUCACUUUUAUUUUCAUAGUGUACGGCACUCUUCUUGCUGCUCUGGUUAAGCUUGUAUCAGCAUUUCCAUUAUAAAAUGCUGCUUUCAGGGGUUUAUAACUUAGCUGCAAAAAUUUACUUCUAGUUUAAGAUGGCAUUAUGACCUGACUGGAAAAUCAUGUUUGUACAAAAUACGAGUCUGCCAAUAUGUGAAAAAUUUUUGGAGUCUUAUUUUGGGCUUUUAGAGCAGAUUGCAAUGGUAGUGUCUCAUCAAAAUAUGCAUUGUUAAUGAUGAGAGAAAUAGACUGUGCCUGAAGCUAUCUCACACAA
Long non-coding RNA from Pezoporus flaviventris, 3045 nucleotides. RefSeq lists it as uncharacterized. The transcript has 6 exons. Lineage: Eukaryota; Metazoa; Chordata; Aves; Psittaciformes; Psittacidae. The record is from RefSeq and is a predicted model, not a curated record.